RNAcentral lists this ribosomal RNA (164 nucleotides) under uncultured bacterium. RNAcentral describes it as "partial 16S rRNA". It matches the Rfam family "Bacterial small subunit ribosomal RNA", at positions 355 to 511 of the family's 1533-position model. The record is from RNAcentral.
UAGGGAAUCUUCGGCAAUGGACGAAAGUCUGACCGAGCAACGCCGCGUGAGUGAAGAAGGUUUCGGAUCGUAAAACUCUGUUGGUAGAGAAGAACGUUGGUGAGAGUGGAAAGCUCAUCAAGUGACGGUAACUACCCAGAAAGGGACGGCUAACUACGUGACAG